GACGGAGACUGAGCGGUAGAGAAGACGAGAGUCACCACCACCGGUCUCCUCUCUCUCACCGCCUCUCUCCUCUCUGCGCCACGCCGGAUCUCUCUCUCUCUCUCCCUGCCUCGCUAUGUCACGGGCAAAUCUCUCUCUCUCUCGCUCUCUGAAUCUGUCUCUGUCUCUCUCUCUCUGCGAGUUUUGAUUUCGAUUUGUUUUUGUCUUGGUAAAGAAAGUUGGAGGAGGACGGAGAAGAAGCUUCACGGGGUGGAGGAAGCUGAUAACAGACGAAGUCGCUUCCUUUUUUUGUCGUUGUUAAGGCUCUAAAGGACAAUUUGGUUACAACAAAUCGGG
Molecule: long non-coding RNA, 336 nt
Filed under: Brassica rapa (field mustard)
Lineage: Eukaryota; Viridiplantae; Streptophyta; Magnoliopsida; Brassicales; Brassicaceae
Description: long non-coding RNA (BRAP_LNC000737)
Source: RNAcentral